UAUAUGGCAAAAAAGGUGAUCGGUAUUUUUGUAAGUGUCAACUAGUUACGAAUUUGUUGCACAUUUCUCAACAUGGCAAUGGGAAAGACAUCCAUCAAUUUGCUCUCCAUGGUUUUUAUGAUGCUUAUCACAAUAGGUAUUUGUCCCACUUUACUCUCAUUUAAAUGGAAAUCCUAGUUGAUGUAUGUUUGUAUGCUUAACAUAAAAAUAUUUUGUAUUUAAUGUUUGAAUUCUGAAUAAAAUAUUCAUGUUCACACAAUAUUAUUCCGAAAUAUCUAUGAACAAGGACUUCUUUAGGCAAAGGCAUAUCAAAACAUUAUUUUGAUUAUUUAUUUCAAGAUAUGAUCUAUCAAUUGAGAUUAUCCUUAUAGUGUCAUAGUGGCGAAGCUAGGAAUUUUAAUAAGGAAUUCAAAUAUGAAAAGGUAAAUAUACAAAGAAAUUAAGGGAAUUCAAUAUUUAUUAUAUAUACAUAAAAGAAUAAUUUUUACUCAAUAUAUAUUGUAUGAUAUAUUUUUCGGCAAAGGAAGUUUUAGUACCCCAUUCUGCCCCUAGCUCCGCCCAUGUGAUACGAAGUUUGAUAUUAAAGGUUAGUUGUUUUUGUUAUAGUUUCAUUAAAUCUUAUGUUUUCGAAGAUUUAUUCUAGUUAAAGGCUUGUAUGUCCCCAUAAUUAAUAAUAAGUGCAUACAGAUUAGAUCUCGGUUUAAAUAGUAUUCUAUGGGCUCAUUUGACACGAGGGAUAAAGAAUAAUUAAACCGAAAUGAAAUUUAAGAUAAAUUUAUUUAUAUUUGAUUGGGAUAAAACCGCUAUAACUAAUUGUGUGAUUAGACAUUCCCGUAUUAUAGUGUUAUAUUUAUCUCUACUGGAGCACGAAAUAACAAUCUCGAAAUAACUAAUUCCGAAAUAAUUAAUUCUGGCAUAACUUGUUUUUCCAGCAGACCUUAUAAGUUUGUCUUAGCAUUGGAAUAAAUUUUGAAUAUGAAUAGAAUGAAACAUGUACAUAUGAUUACUUAAAAGUAAAAAUUGUAGUACUUUUACUUUAUGAUGAAAAAUUGACUUUUAUUUGUUUAUAGGCUUACAGAGUGUGGAAGGUUCGGUAUUCAUAGGUGAACCAUGCAAAACAUCUAAAGAUUGCUUUGAUUUUUGCCGUGGCGCGACCCCCUUUUGCCAAAAUGGACACUGUAUUUGCGAGGUGCAGGAGGAGGCUAUUAGCAAUACUCAAGCAGGACCUAUUAGAAAAUUUUUGCAGCAUAAUUAGGAUUAUGUGACAAUACAUAAUAAAAACAAUUGUUCUAUUAAAAUUUUCUUUAGUUGCUGGUUAAAAAUAAUAAAGAUCUCAAAUAAUGAGUGACACAUUUG
This 1356-nucleotide long non-coding RNA is filed under the name Nicotiana benthamiana. RNAcentral's name for it is "long non-coding RNA (NBEN_LNC023056)". Lineage: Eukaryota; Viridiplantae; Streptophyta; Magnoliopsida; Solanales; Solanaceae. The record is from RNAcentral.